GCGGAUAUAGUUUCAAACCAAAACAUUAGGCUGUGAUCCUAAAGACAGAAGUUAAACUCUUCUUACCCGCC
RNAcentral lists this transfer RNA (71 nucleotides) under Machlolophus spilonotus (yellow-cheeked tit). RNAcentral describes it as "tRNA-His". It matches the Rfam family "tRNA". Rfam says of the family: Transfer RNA (tRNA) molecules are approximately 80 nucleotides in length. The record is from RNAcentral. Lineage: Eukaryota; Metazoa; Chordata; Aves; Passeriformes; Paridae.